UUACACAAUGGGAGUGCUUUGAAUUUCAUACAGGCAAACUCUGAAACUGCCUCUUUUUCUUUGUACCCUCAAAGUAACCAGACAUAAAGUUUUUGUCUCCUUAAUUUUUCAAUUUAAUUGAAUAAUUUGGAGAUAUGAGAGCCAAGUGGCGUAAAAAGCGUAUGCGUAGACUUAAGCGAAAGCGCCGUAAGAUGCGUGCUCGUUCCAAGUAAGCUGGAAAAGGGGAUUUGGUCAGAGACGACGGUGUAUUUACUCAAAAUUACAUCUGAGCAACCUAUUGGGCGACACCGCGUUGCAAAUCAUGGAUAACCUCUUCUUUGAACACAGACACACUCCUGACUAAUCAACAAUUCCAACAAACUCUUGAAUAAUGUUAAUUUGGAUCAAUAAAAACCGAUUCACAUAACAUGUUCACAAAACGCUCUCUUUUUAAUGGGUUUAGUAGAAGAAAUUCGCGCGUGUUUCAAAGUCUCUCUGGCUUUCAAAGGUUAAACGUCAGUGC
Molecule: long non-coding RNA, 502 nt
Organism: Culicoides brevitarsis
Lineage: Eukaryota; Metazoa; Arthropoda; Insecta; Diptera; Ceratopogonidae
Exons: 4
Source: RefSeq, a predicted model, not a curated record